RNAcentral lists this ribosomal RNA (403 nucleotides) under uncultured soil bacterium. Its description in RNAcentral is "bacterial SSU rRNA". It matches the Rfam family "Bacterial small subunit ribosomal RNA", at positions 258 to 688 of the family's 1533-position model. The record is from RNAcentral.
UAACGGCCCACCAAGGCGACAAUCGGUAGCUGGUCUGAGAGGAUGAUCAGCCUCACUGGAACUGAGACACGGCCCAGACUCCUACUGGGGGGAAUAUUGGACAAUGGGCGCAAGCCUGAUCCAGCCAUGCCGCGUGGGUGAUGAAGGCCUUAGGGUUGUAAAGCCCUUUCGGCGGGGAAGAUAAUGACGGUACCCGCAAAAGAAGCCCCGGCUAACUUCGUGCCACCGGCCGCGGUAAUACAAAGGGGGCUAGCGUUGUCCCGAAUUAUUGGGCGUAAAGAGCGUGUAGGCGGCCCCAUUAAUCCGCUGUGAAAGUCCAGGGCUCAACCCUGGAAUGCCGGUGGAUACUGUGGGGCUAGAGUCCGGAAGGGGCGAGUGGAAUUCCUGGUGUAGCGGUGAAAUG